GUGUCAGCAGCCGCGGUAAUACAGAGGUCUCAAGCGUUGUUCGGAUUCAUUGGGCGUAAAGGGUGCGUAGGUGGCGCGCUAAGUCAGGUGUGAAAUCUCGGAGCUUAACUCCGAAACUACAUUUGAUACUGGCGUGCUUGAGGACUGGAGAGGAGACUGGAAUUCACGGUGUAGCAGUGAAAUGCGUAGAUAUCGUGAGGAAGACCAGCGGCGAAGGCGGGUCUCUGGACAGUUCCUGACACUGAGGCACGAAGGCCAGGGGAGCAAACGGGAUUAGAUACCCUUGUAGUCC
This 292-nucleotide ribosomal RNA is filed under the name uncultured bacterium. RNAcentral describes it as "partial 16S ribosomal RNA". It matches the Rfam family "Bacterial small subunit ribosomal RNA", at positions 505 to 796 of the family's 1533-position model. The record is from RNAcentral.